UGGGGAAUAUUGCACAAUGGGCGAAAGCCUGAUGCAGCGACGCCGCGCGAGUGAAGAAGUAUUUCGGUAUGUAAAGCUCUAUCAGCAGGGAAGAAAAUGACGGUACCUGACUAAGAAGCCCCGGCUAACUACCUGCCAGCAGCCGCGGUAACACGUAGGGGGCAAGCGUUAUCCGGAUUUACUGGGUGUAAAGGGAGCGUAGACGGCGAAGCAAGUCUGAAGUGAAAACCCAGGGCUCAACCCUGGGACUGCUUUGGAAACUGUUUUGCUAGAGUGUCGGAGAGGUAGGUGGAAUUCCUAGUGUAGCGGAGAAAUGCGUAGAUAUUAGGAGAAACACCAGUAGCGAAGGCGGCUUACUGGACGAUAACUGACGUUGAGGCUCGAAAGCGUGGGGAGCAAACAGG
This 404-nucleotide ribosomal RNA is filed under the name Fusobacteriota bacterium. Its description in RNAcentral is "Fusobacteria bacterium partial 16S ribosomal RNA". It matches the Rfam family "Bacterial small subunit ribosomal RNA", at positions 355 to 776 of the family's 1533-position model. The record is from RNAcentral. Lineage: Bacteria; Fusobacteriati; Fusobacteriota.